AUGUGCUGCCGGCCCGGGCUCCAUGAGCGUGGCGGGCACUUUGCAGUCUCGGGUGUUCCUGCCCGGUCUUCUGUUCCUAAACUGCAGCAAAGGGAAAAGGAACUGAAAAAGGCAGGCUCGUCGUUGCAAUAUCACCAAAAGAGAAAAUUAACGGCAUGCCAUCAGGACCACAGCAGUUGGAGAAACAACUCUUUAUCCCGGCUUGCAGCCACGAGGUCUUGAUUGGGGGAGGGGUGGUGAAGAAUAGUCUGUGGGCUGCUUUUUUUUUUUCCUUUUACUGGAGCUGUACAGUGGAGUCGGUGAUUGCUGCUGAUCAUAAUCAAGUAUUUUAGGAGCUUAUUUAGACAUGUAUCUGAUAGCUAAGGAUUUUUCAACUUUAUUCUCUUACGUAUUUUUCAACUGUAAAUUAUUGGGCUUUUAAAUCCUGCUAGUAUUGCUCGACUCUUACUCUCACAAAUGGAUGGAAUUAAUUGCUGUUAGGAGGUUGGAAAAUAGCAAAUAUAGAUUUGGACGGUGGUAGUAAUUUUGAGCAAAUAAUGUUUUAUCUUUUUUUUCCUUAUUUUUCCCUAUUCCAGUCAUACACGUGGACCUAACUGCACCAGUAGCUUUUCUGAGAAUACUUGCUGAAAAGGAAGUUUUCUGGAAUGGGUAAGUGUAUUCUGAUUUUCUUGAACUUUUCUUAAAAACAAAUUUUUCUUGCUAUUAAAGUUGAAUAAAUAGGAUUGGUUUCUUAGAGAGUAAAAGUAGGUGUUUCUUUCUUUAGACAAUGUACCUUUUCUGAAAAACUAACUCAUUAAGUACGGAUUUGCUAAUUUUAAGGUAGUAAAAUUACAGUGUAAAUAUUCCUGUACAUUUUUGGAAACUGGCUUAUGCAGUUUACGAAAUAUAAUUUUAGACCCUCUUUUAAGUUGGGUGAUAAAGUAGAUAUAACCUGAGAUGAUAGAUUUAAACAGGAUAUUUACGUUCUGCUACAAUUGACUGAUAACACUUGAAGUGUAGUCUGAACAGUAAUUUUGUUAAUCAUUUCAACAAGUAUUUGCUAAGUGGAAGCCAGAAGAGGAGGAAAAUGUUUUGCCACGUGGAUGUGAAGAUUUCCUCUAAAAGCAGGAAAAAAGAGAACAUCACCUUGUAAAACUGAAGAUUGUGACCAGUCAGAAUAAUGUCAAAG
RNAcentral lists this long non-coding RNA (1168 nucleotides) under Homo sapiens (human). RNAcentral's name for it is "non-protein coding MIR17HG:17". The record is from RNAcentral. Lineage: Eukaryota; Metazoa; Chordata; Mammalia; Primates; Hominidae.